GUGCUCACUUUGGCAGCAUAUAUACUAAAAUUGGAUUGAUACAGAGAAGAUUAGCAUGGCCCCUACACAAAGAUGACAUGCAAAUUCAUGAAGCAUUCCAUAUUUUU
This is a small nuclear RNA of Pongo abelii (Sumatran orangutan), 107 nucleotides long. Lineage: Eukaryota; Metazoa; Chordata; Mammalia; Primates; Hominidae. The record is from Ensembl.